This 497-nucleotide ribosomal RNA is filed under the name uncultured bacterium. RNAcentral's name for it is "partial 16S ribosomal RNA". It matches the Rfam family "Bacterial small subunit ribosomal RNA", at positions 28 to 507 of the family's 1533-position model. The record is from RNAcentral.
GACGAACGCUGGCGGCGUGCCUAAUACAUGCAAGUUGAGCGCUGAAGGUUGGUACUUGUACCGACUGGAUGAGCAGCGAACGGGUGAGUAACGCGUGGGGAAUCUGCCUUUGAGCGGGGGACAACAUUUGGAAACGAAUACUAAUACCGCAUAAAAACUUUAAACACAAGUUUUAAGUUUGAAAGAUGCAAUUGCAUCACUCAAAGAUGAUCCCGCGUUGUAUUAGCUAGUUGGUGAGGUAAAGGCUCACCAAGGCGAUGAUACAUAGCCGACCUGAGAGGGUGAUCGGCCACAUUGGGACUGAGACACGGCCCAAACUCCUACGGGAGGCAGCAGUAGGGAAUCUUCGGCAAUAGACGAAAGUCUGACCGAGCAACGCCGCGUGAGUGAAGAAGGUUUUCGGAUCGUAAAACUCUGUUGGUAGAGAAGAACGUUGGUGAGAGUGGAAAGCUCAUCAAGUGACGGUAACUACCCAGAAAGGGACGGCUAACUACGUG